Molecule: non-coding RNA, 103 nt
Organism: Nicotiana attenuata
Lineage: Eukaryota; Viridiplantae; Streptophyta; Magnoliopsida; Solanales; Solanaceae
Source: Rfam
GUCCCUUCUGCGACAUCUGAUAUAAUUGGUUUGAUACAGAACAGAUUAGUAUGGCCCCUACGCAAGGAUGACAUGCACAAAUUGAGAAAUGGUUCAAUUUUCU